AAAAAUAAUAAAAUUGCACCAAAAAGAUUUAUUACCCUAGUGAUUCUCAUUUGCUAUGUGUACUCCUGACCCAAAUUAAGGCCUUUUUGAAUGUAUUUUAUAUUUCCUAAUGAAACAGGAAAUAGCCACCAAUGUAAUCAUGUAACCACUUUUACUUUAUUUGAAAAGCAGAUGCCUAUUAAAUUAGACAUUGCAGUUGGAACAGGUAGAGCCAUCUUAAAACAAUAGUAAAUGCCAUGUUUGUUGUUUCAGUAGGACUUCAAAUAAAGAGAACAGGGCUUUGUUAGAAGUUAAAGCCUUUUUGUGAUUUAAACACUUUGGAGAAAGAUUUUACCUAUAAACAUAAGGUUCUGUGAACAGAUCUUAUGCCCACUACAUUACUGUCCACUGGCAUGGAUAAGAGGCUCACUUUUGUCCUCUGGUAAAUAGGUCUUGGGUUCUAGAGAGAAAGCAGUCCUAGGUCUGCUCAGUGCAGAAGGCACAGUGUGACCAUUCCCCACCUCCAGGAACUCUCCACUGGCUAACGUUUUCAACACAGUUUUUAUUUAUAAAGGCAAAAUAUUUUGUGUCCUAUGUUGCAAGAUCAUGAUGGUUAGUAAAAUCUUAGUGUUUGGAAAUAGAAUAAUUAAUAAGUUUGUUUCUUCCUUUUAAAAUGUCUGCUUAGAGAAAUAUAAGUCCAGGAAAGUCCCAAGACAACGAGCAGAAAUAUAUACCCCUGAGCACAGUGUGGGGGAGGAAUAUAGAGGUUUUUAAAAAUCCUUUUCUCCAAGCCCACAUCACUGUCCAUUGAACCAAAGUCCUCAGGAGUCUGGAAAGUAAGGAGGUUGGGCAAAAAGUCUAGAGACUUGGCUGUAGGUCAUGGCGACAUACUUUUAUACAAAGAGUCUGUGGUUUUGCAUAUUUUGGUGGCAGGCAAGUCCAUUUUAUUUUUCUGUGACCUUGAUAUUUGACAUUAAGAUUGUCGGUGUAUUUGGAUUUUCCCUGAAGUUACAACAGUUGUGUUAGGCGUUGCUCUCGUGAAUCUUCAUGCAGAUGUCUACCAGUCUUGUGCAUAAAGUGCAGAUGACACACUUGGUACCGUAGGGAUCUCACUGCCUGUCCUGUCUGCCGGUGGCUCUGUUAGGUUAGGUUCUUCACUCCAAAGCUGGGACUUAAUGUCCUUCUAGGUGGGAAUCUACAGAAGUAAUUUGAAUAAGUUAAAACCAAAUCUUGAUAGCAGGAGACAGCUUCCUGGUCUAGAUGUACAAUUAGCUUAGGUUGGAGUUAGAGAGGGUUUGGGAAUGUCUUUAGUCUCUGUGUAAAUACCAACAUGCUUGUUAUGCACCGUAAACCAGUGUGUGUGCCUGUGUGUGGUUUGUAGAGCUGGUUUCUGCUUCAAGUGAAGCUGCACCUUUGAUUUUAUAAGGUCCCCUCCACCCAGAACCCUAUAAACGUUUGUAAAUAGAACACUAAAAUUUGUAGCGAUAGAAUCAAUUUGGGAAAUAUCUGCUGAGAGACCAAAAAGUUCAUUUUUUUAAGUACCUUGGUUAAAGAGUAAAGAUUAUUCCUCUUAUUUUUUAAAAGAAGUAUGCACUUUAACAAACACAGCUGCAUGGGCAAUUCAAACAAAUCCAUGAAGUGCAGUACCCAUCCAGAAACCACACUUCCUGAAAACCGUUCAAAGCAGAGUCCAGACGGGCUGGUGAUCUCACUGCCUGUAGGUUGAAGCUCAGAUUCUGAUGAAUUGUGAGACAAGCAGGGCUGCUUCAAAGAGCAAUGUGAAUACAGCCAGAAGCUUCAGACAGGUCUGUAAAAUGGCGGGUCCCGUAUUUACCACUAACUAGCAAAACUGACAGAAAAACUCAUAGAAAUAAAAAGUUUAAGAAUCCUUCCUGCUGGUGUGCACUCCUUCCAAUAGCAGACUUUUGCAAAUGGAGUUUUACAGUCUAUAUUUAAGAAAUUGUAUGUUUGUAACAAAUAAAGUAUGCGGAAAAGUGAAUGACA
RNAcentral lists this long non-coding RNA (1983 nucleotides) under Rattus norvegicus (Norway rat). Its description in RNAcentral is "long non-coding RNA NONRATT010012". The record is from RNAcentral. Lineage: Eukaryota; Metazoa; Chordata; Mammalia; Rodentia; Muridae.